Long non-coding RNA from Pan troglodytes (chimpanzee), 2798 nucleotides. RefSeq lists it as uncharacterized. The record is from RefSeq and is a predicted model, not a curated record. The transcript has 3 exons. Lineage: Eukaryota; Metazoa; Chordata; Mammalia; Primates; Hominidae.
GGGGCGGCUCAGGAGAGCGAGGCUGGAUGGAAGCUGUCCAUUCCACUGUCCAACCAGUGCCGGCGCUCCUCCCUGCACACAUCAUGCUGCAGGCAGCUGAGCGGGCACUGCAGUUCCACCUGUGCCACCCACUGCCUCUUGCCUGCUUCUGCAGGGCCAGCCAAGCAGGUGUGUGUCCCCAUUUAACCCGUAGGAAGGAGAGGCAUGGAGCAGCAUGAGGCUCACGAUCACACAGUAAACCAAGGCCAGGGCCGAGAUGGUCUUCUGACGUGCCCUCUAGACCUGUUAGAUGAAUUCUAACUACUUCACCCAGGUUCUCUAGUUUCUGUCUGGUCCUCAGGUGAGAUCACCAGCUUCCUGGUCCGCCUGCACCAACUUCCUUUUCUGCUCUGCUGUUUAUAACGUGUCAGUGGAGAAUCGGCCACCGCAUUUUCAUGUUGAAGAGCCUAACUCCUUUGUUAUUCAGCAUGACAGCUAAUAAGGUCUUGUCUGAUGGAUUCGUGGCUGAGUUUAGGUCCAGGAAGUACUGUGUCCAUUGAUCAGUUUCUGUGCUGUCCUCUUGCUGGAGAACACACCUGUUUGGCUUGGCUGCUCUCCCUCUUGGCCAGGAGCCCUGGUCACCAAGCCACAGCUGGACCCCAGCUACCAGCCAGCUCUGGGGCCCCGUAAGGCCUUCUUUCCUUUAAAUGGCCUUUGUUCUAUUUGAUCCCUGAAUGCUUUAUCUUGAACUUCAUUUUAACAUGUACACCAGCUGCCCACAAUCCCCUUGGAAGAAAGCUGGAUAUCAAUUAUGAAAAAAAUAAGACUGGGAGUGGUGGCUCACGCCUGUAAUCCCAGCGCUUUGGGAGGCCAAGGCAGGCAGAUCACCUGAGGUCAGGAGUUUGAGACCAGCCUGGCCAAUGUGGUGAAACCCCGUCUCUACUAAAAAUACAAAAAACUAGCCGGGCAUAGUGGCGGGCACCUGUAAUCCCAGUUACUUGGGAGGCCGAGACAGGAGGAUCUCUUGAACCCAGGAGGCGGAAGUUUCAGUGAGCCAAGAUCACACCAUUGCACUCCAGCCUGGGCGACAGAGCAAGACUCCAUCUCAAAAAAAAAAAAAAAAAAAAGAAUAAAAGAAAGAAUUGGAUGACAGUUUGCAAGAGGCUCCAAAGGAGAUCAGGGAAGGGCUGCACAUCGGGUCUUAAUGCUGGCAUGGGGAGAGGGGGCACAGAGUCCCUGAGUGACUGGCCUGCUUCCACACUAAGACCCAAAACCUUGUGUGCUUGAGGACAAUGCAGUUCGAAUCACGCCACUGGAAUUUUCUGUAUUUGCUUCUGGACUUGAACAUUUGGACAAUGUCUACAAUUGCAUUCUUUGUAAUGCUUUUGUGUUGAAAUAUCGUUUUGACCCUCAAAUCAUCCACAUAUUGUCUUUAAAAAUGGCAAAAGGUAUUUCCAUAUGGUUUAUGUGAUCUGUUAAUUCAUAAAAGUGUUGAGUGGAAUUUAUCACAUACGGUUAAUGCUUUGUGCUGCUUCUGUUUCUAGAGCCUGAAAUCUGGCUGUUACUUCACUCUCUGUAGGGGUCUGGGGACAUGAAUUAAGAUGCCCUUCUCUAUGGAGUGCCUUGUUUGGGAGAGUUUGAACGAAGCACAAUAGUUGGUUUUGCUCUCAAGAUACCCACAGAUAAUGCUAAUCCAGGAGGAGUCCCCAAGGUGGCGGAUUGCUUUCUUCUGUUCCCUCUUUUUCCCAGAUCAGCAGGAGGCCGGCCUCCAGGGCAAGUCCAUUCUGAAGCCGCCAACGUUCCAGUUACAGUCGCUGGGAGGCCUAGUUCCUCUGUCUGCAGGGGGAGCUCUUCACAGUCCUGGAGCAGCCACCGGCCACCCUGCCUGGGAUCUCAGCCAGCUCUCAAAAACAACAGUAAAUGGAAAAUAAAAAGCACCAUGACAAGUCGAAAAAGAGACUGCAGAAGAAACAAGCUCGCUGAGUACCACGAUGCACACGUCCCCCUGCUUUGGGAAUAAAGGCUACCACACUUUUAUUUCUCACUGGGCCUCAUAGAUCCUGUAGCCAGCCCUGCAGGCCAAGAUUGACUGGCCCAAAGGGACCAGUCUGGAAAUUUGGAUCUGGGACAAAAAAAAAAGUUUUUCUCCAGCAGGUGGCGAUUGAACACAGGGAAGUGGAGACCCAUUGUUGCCACAUUCGGCCUUGUGGAUUAAUGAGCAGUAAACAGCAGUUGGCCUCAAGAAAGAAGAAAUGAAUCAGAUGUAUACAACAAAGCAGAAGCAAAGGACAGAGAGACCAUUUCUUGGUGCCCCAUAGAGUUCCAGUUCCUGUUGCCAUCUGCUCCUGGCAGGUAGCCCUGUGGGUGGCAUCUUGGUCCCUUCCAACAAGUUCUCACUUGCGGCUGAAGUUAGCAACAUUCUGAAUUCCAUUGUCUGCAACCAAACGAAUCUUAACAAAUGCAGGAAUAUGCAUGCAUCAAACAAGAAACAGAGGUGCGGUACACAAAAAUAGGGAACUAUAUCUCAAAAAGAAAAACUGGAUCUGGGAGCAGCAUCCCUAAUGGGUAAAUGGUGUUGGUUCCCCAAAGAAAACUGUAUGGCUUGUAAGUUGUCACGGUUUGUCAAAGAAAGAAAAAUUUUAAAGAUAGGCUAAGCGAAUUUUGUGUUAGAAAAUCAAAGUCUUUACUCUUUCCCUAGAUGGGCUUUUCUCUUUUUAACUGUGCUUCUAGGCUUUUAGAUCAAGAUGCACAUGUAGGCCAGGUGCGGUGGCUCACGCCUGUAAUCCCAGCACUUUGGGAGGCCGAGGUGGGUGGAUCAC